Long non-coding RNA from Salvelinus namaycush (lake trout), 2408 nucleotides. RefSeq lists it as uncharacterized. Lineage: Eukaryota; Metazoa; Chordata; Actinopteri; Salmoniformes; Salmonidae. The record is from RefSeq and is a predicted model, not a curated record. The transcript has 6 exons.
AUGAUUGGUUACGUUGCCGGCGAUAUAAAAGUUAUAGAAUCACAUUUCCUUCUUUCUCUACCAAGGCGAAGGAAGGCUUCGCCGUUGUUUAACUCCGACCAACAUCAGCGUCACCCUCGGUCACGAAGUUGGCAACAUGUCUAAAGGACCGGCAGUUGCCAUUGAUCUCGGGAGCACCUACUCCUGCUUGGAUGUGUUCCAGCAUGGCAAGGUUGAAAUCAUUGCCAACGACCAGUGCAACAGGACCACUUCAAGUUGUGUUUCCUUCAGACUCAGACUUAUUGGUAAUGCCGUCAAUAAUCGGGUUACCAUGAACCCUGCCACACAGUAUUCGACAGUCAACAAUGUAGUCGUUCCCGUGCCUGCUUAAUUCAACAACUCCCAGUUCCAGGCAUCGAAAGAUGCUGGCACCAUCUCAGGCCUGAAUGUACUGCAUAUCAUCAAUGAGCCAACUGCUGCUGCCAUUGCCUACGGCUUGGAUAAGAAGCAAGGAGGACAUUGGGUGCAUGGUCCAGGAGGCUGAGAAGUACAAGUGUGAGGAUGAUGUGCAGCGUGACAAGGUUCCCUGGAGUCCUACUCUUUCAACAUGAAGUCUACUGUGGAGGAUGAGAAACUGCAGGGCAAGAUCAGUGACGAGGACAAGACCAAGAUUCUGGACACGUGCAACAAGGUCAUCGGCUGGCUUGACAAGAACUAGGUGUAUGAGGGUGAGGGCCAUGACCAAGGACAAAAACCUGUUGGGCAUGUUUGAGCUGACUAGAAUCCCCCCUGCACCUCGAUGUUCCUCAGAUUGAGGUCACCUUUGACAUUGACGCUAACGACAUCAUGAAGGUGUCUGAAGCUGACAAGCACACUGGCAAGGAGGACAAGAUCACUAUCACCAAUGACAUGGACUGCUGAGAAGUAAGAGUAUGAGCACCACCAGAAGGAGCAUCACCAAGUUGUACCAUGGUGCUGGUAUGCUCGACAGCAUGGCUGGUGGAUUCCCCGGAGCUGGUGGCGCGGCUCAUGGAGGCGGUGGGUUAUCUUGACUGACUUGAGGAAGUCGACUAAACCAUUCCACUGUUUCUGCAACUACCUCACAAGCAACGUUUGAAAUGUUCUACCUGUUUGUGACGGAGUCAGUGACUCUUGUCAGUGAGAUUUUAAAGUUAGAAAAAAGGUUGCCUGAUCACACUUCUAUUGCAACUUUGUUUGCUACACAACAGAACAGUAAUUUUCUGUUUGCUCAACUAAGCUGUCAGAUUUCACAUGGAGUAUAUUGUGCCUUUAAGGCACAAUGCCUUAAAGACAAAAUAAAACAUGGUGACCUUCCACUGCAACUUCUAAAUGUUGAUCUCAAGUGCUUUUACCACUGUUCAGAGCUUUUGAUAAGGUCCUUAUUUUGGUUAAUAUUGUUAUGACAAAGUUUAAUCUCACUUGUGACUUCCCAUAACAAACUUCCAGCUGCUAGACCAGUGUCAAUGUUUGUGGUCCUACCACUAAAUAUUAUAGAUAUUUUGCAGCGGCAAUCAUCCAGUUUCUCAAUAACCAUGUUUCGUGCCACAGUUAUGCAAGUAGUUGUAUCCAUUAAAAUGUGAUGAAGUUUAUGGUGUCAUUUUAUAAAUGCUGACUGAAUUUGUUCGUUAUACAUCUCGUGUCGGUAAAAUGUAUUGUGGGAAAUGGCAGUGGAAACACCUUUACGCGCAAGUAUGGUCCUCCCUCUAUGACUGGGGUGGGUAGGCUAAUGUAGAUUAGUCUACCCGCACUAUAUGCGAGCUGUUGGCUAGGCACAUUUGCUAUUUACUGCAAGUUUUUGUGAUGACUAUCAGCCUUAAAUGCGACAUAGUUAGCUGUACAUUCUUAUUCGGGACAAACUUACACGAAACAGUACAUUUAGUGUGCUGUUUAUCUGCAUAUAGUCCCAUUUGGUGGAAGUAAGAGUAUGAGCACCACCAGAAGGAGCAUCACCAAGUUGUACCAUGGUGCUGGUAUGCCCGACAGCAUGGAAGUCGACUAAACCAUUCCACUGUUUCUGCAGCUACCUCCCCCUCACAUUGACUUCAAUUGCUUUGCAGAUAGAUUUAGAAAAUGGUUAUUGCGGUUUCUGUCAGACUACAUAUGGUAGGGUAAUUUUGCUGAAUUAUCCCAAUGUAGUAACUCAGUCUAUCGUUGGUAGAUUUAUUUCAACAGCACAAUUUACUUGAUGCAUUUGAUGAUACUUUUUGAUGCAAAGUUUAUUUAGAAAUGUAUGGAUGCAAGGAAAGAAUGAUGGUGCAUGAGAAACAUGAUAGUUUUAAUACAAAUUACACGCGUUCAGCUUUCAAACAAGGAACAGUACUGCCCUAUUGCACAGCUCUUGUAUCUGUCUUUAAUAAGCAAAGCGCAGCAGCUCUUAUGGUGUGGUGGCCAAUUAUAUCUUAAAUGUC